AAGUAGCAGCGAGUAGCAUAGUCGAUUGGCAGAACGCGUAACCGCUAGCAUGGAGGCAGUGUGGGUCAACUGCCUAGGGGCUGNUUAGCAGUGNGGAUAUUGCAUCAAGUGACAUAGCGGUCUGAUACCAGCMRUUAGNNNNSGGGAAUGUAGUCCAAAAGAAUUGAAGUUCGAGAUAAGAAAGAAUAAUGCCAAUUUUUAUCUUAAUGUCUUGGCCAAAUUACGUGCCAGCAGUCGCGGUCAUACGUAGAAGACUAGUGCUAUUCAUGUUUAUUGGGUUUAAAGGGUACCUAGACGGAUAAUCAAGCUAGUACUGUUACUAGGACUAGUUAUCUAGAGUUUUAUGGAUGAGUGUUGAAUUUCUGGAUGAGAGUCAAAAUUCUUUGAUACCGGUGAAACAGACAACGGUGAAGGCGACAUUCUAUGUAACAACUGACGUUGAGGGACGAAGCCUUGGGGAGCGAGAAGGAUUAGAUACCCUAGUAGUCCAGGGAGAAAAUUAUAAGUGCCAUAGACUAGCGAAAGUUAGUUUAUAAAUGAAAGUGUAAGCAUUUCRCCUCAKGAGUAAAGCGGCAACGCCRAAAUUGAAAYCAUUAGACCGUAUCUGAAACCAGUAGUGAWGUAUGUUAUUUAAUUCKAUAAUCCGCGAAWAACCUURCCACGUUUUGAAUAUUAAYGAUGAAUUUUCUAGUAAGUAAAUUUUYUAUUUUUACCAGCGCUGCACGGACUGUCUUCAGUUUAUGUUCGUGAGAUUUUGGUUAAUUCCUUUAAUUAMCGAAAGCCCUUGUUUUAUUUUUUUAUAGAAUACUUCGCCGUUAUASUGGYAUAGAAUAAUAAGGACGAACACAAGUCAGCGUGGUCUUAAUAAAGCUAGGUAAUAGACGGGGCCCCAUAUAUNUGGCCUAAAUAACAUGAGCUAUAAUACGUUGCCACAUAAGUCAUCCUGAGCUAUAUAAGGGACAUAUUAAGGUCGUGCCAGGAUAUUUGUUCAUGGGGCUAUAGACGUGCGACAAUAUAC
Molecule: ribosomal RNA, 1018 nt
Filed under: Abrothallus usneae
Lineage: Eukaryota; Fungi; Ascomycota; Dothideomycetes; Abrothallales; Abrothallaceae
Description: partial 12S ribosomal RNA
Rfam family: Bacterial small subunit ribosomal RNA
Source: RNAcentral